RNAcentral lists this ribosomal RNA (245 nucleotides) under uncultured bacterium. Its description in RNAcentral is "partial 16S ribosomal RNA". It matches the Rfam family "Bacterial small subunit ribosomal RNA", at positions 524 to 768 of the family's 1533-position model. The record is from RNAcentral.
UACGUAGGGAGCAAGCGUUGUCCGGAAUCAUUGGGCGUAAAGCGCGCGUAGGUGGCCUCAUAAGUCCGCUGUGAAAGUCAAAGGCUCAACCUUUGAAAGCCGGUGGAUACUGUGGGGCUAGAGUACGGAAGAGGCGAGUGGAAUUCCUGGUGUAGCGGUGGAAUGCGCAGAUAUCAGGAGGAACACCAAUAGCGAAGGCAGCUCGCUGGGACGUUACUGACACUGAGGCGCGAAAGCGUGGGGAG